AACGUAGGGGGCAAGCGUUGUCCGGAAUUACUGGGCGUAAAGGGCGCGUAGGCGGUUAUUUAAGUCAGAGGUGAAAACUCUGGGCUCAACUCAGAGCCUGCCUCUGAAACUGGAUGACUUGAGGGCAGGAGAGGGGAGUGGAAUUCCCAGUGUAGCGGUGAAAUGCGUAGAUAUUGGGAGGAACACCAGUGGCGAAGGCGGCUCUCUGGCCUGUUACUGACGCUGAGGCGCGAAAGCGUGGGGAUCAAACAGGAUUAGAUACC
Molecule: ribosomal RNA, 263 nt
Filed under: uncultured bacterium
Lineage: Bacteria
Description: partial 16S ribosomal RNA
Rfam family: Bacterial small subunit ribosomal RNA
Source: RNAcentral